UAGCAGGCCGUUCAGGGAGGCUUGGCCUGCAGAGGUUCAGUCUGUCCUUUCCUGUAGUGUCUGCUAGAGAGAACUGGGGUGGUUUUUAGGUCAUGUUGUGUGUCCCCUCCAUGGCAAGGUAAACCACACACCAAU
Molecule: small nucleolar RNA, 135 nt
Filed under: Hucho hucho (huchen)
Lineage: Eukaryota; Metazoa; Chordata; Actinopteri; Salmoniformes; Salmonidae
Description: Small nucleolar RNA SNORA9 (ENSHHUG00000052045.1)
Source: RNAcentral